GCUUAACGCGAAGAACCUUACCUACCUUUGAAUCCACGGAACCUAGCAGAGAUGUUGGGGUGCCUUCGGGAACCGUGAGACAGGUGCUGCAUGGCUGUCGUCAGCUCGUGUCGUGAGAUGUUGGGUUAAGUCCCGUAACGAGCGCAACCCUUGUCCUUAGUUGCCAUCAGGUUAUGCUGGGCACUUUAAGGAGACUGCCGGUGAUAAACCGGAGGAAGGUGGGGAUGACGUCAGGUCCUCAUGGCCCUUACAGGUAGGGCUACACACGUGCUACAAUGGGCAGUACAGAGGGAAGCCAACCCGCGAGGGGGAGCGAAUCUCAUAAAGCUGUUCGUAGUCCGGAUUGGAGUCUGCAACUCGACUCCAUGAAGUUGGAAUCGCUAGUAAUCGCGGAUCAGAAUGCCGCGGUGAAUACGUUCCCGGGUCUUGUACACACCG
RNAcentral lists this ribosomal RNA (438 nucleotides) under uncultured bacterium. Its description in RNAcentral is "bacterial SSU rRNA". It matches the Rfam family "Bacterial small subunit ribosomal RNA", at positions 954 to 1392 of the family's 1533-position model. The record is from RNAcentral.